GGGGACGCUCCGGUUUCGAUAGGGGCCGCCGAGGGCGAUGUUGCAAGCCGAGGAUGACCGUGGGCCUCGUAAAUCACCGGUCAAGCCAUUAACUGGCGAAACUUCUUACCAACUCGCUGCUUAAGUGAGUAAGUGACCGCGAAGCCCGGCCUUUGGCGUCGCGCGAACUGACGAAAAGAAGGCUAGCCGCUCCGGACGCUUCUAGGGAGCGCGCGAAAAUUAAGAAGCUGGGUCCGAAGAGAGCCUGUUCGUCGGCGCUCCACGACCGAGAUCCAAACGACGAACUAAGCUUGUAGACGCACGUCUGAAGGGCUCUUAGACGAGGGUUCGACUCCCUCCGUCUCCACCA
Molecule: transfer-messenger RNA, 349 nt
Filed under: Deinococcaceae
Lineage: Bacteria; Thermotogati; Deinococcota; Deinococci; Deinococcales
Also listed under: 1 other name
Description: Deinococcus_A yavapaiensis Standard tmRNA
Rfam family: transfer-messenger RNA
About the family: Bacterial tmRNA, also known as 10Sa RNA or SsrA, is named for its dual tRNA and mRNA-like properties.
Source: RNAcentral